UCUCCACUGUUGAUGAAUUGGUUCUUUAUUCAGUUAGUGUUAAGGUUGAGGAAGGUUGUCACCUUAAUACAGUGGAUGAGAUUGCAGCUGCUGUUAAUCAAAUGCUACGCNNNNNNUUCAUGAAGAGGAUGCUGCUUUAAGCUAAAAUUAAAUUAUUGUAACCCUGAUUGGGUUUUUCUUCUGUAAUUGAGGCUGUUAAUUACCUCUCAUAAUGGAUUUAAG
RNAcentral lists this unclassified non-coding RNA (222 nucleotides) under Hevea brasiliensis (rubber tree). The record is from RNAcentral. Lineage: Eukaryota; Viridiplantae; Streptophyta; Magnoliopsida; Malpighiales; Euphorbiaceae.